AUCGGCUAGACUUUGUAAACUUGAACUCUAAUUGGUGUUGGUUUGAGGUUUUGUUUUUAUCUUGUUUUUUAGGGUGAAAUCAGAAAUUUUUAUUAAUGGUGCCUUAAACUUUAAGAUUUGGUGAAUGAAUCAGAUUAGUACCUGAUUAAACAAAAGUUAAAAGAGCAGGAGUAAAGUUAUGUUUAAACUGAAAGAGUAUUGGCAGGUUUUUAAAUUAUCUUUGGAGGUUGAGUAGUAAUUGAGAGCCCUCAUUAACAACUUUUACUGUAGGCGCAUGUAUGAUCGUUUAUUUUAUUCUUAAGGAUUGCAAUUUUAGAUGGGUCUCUGUUAAAAUAGAUAGAUAUUUGGUGUAUGUAGAAGAUUUAAUUUGACCUACAGUAUAUUAUUUUGUGGAUACCUCUCUAGUAGGGGGUUGAAAGUGUAAAAGACAGUAAGUUUUUUUUUAUGUAAGACUGAAGUUUAUUUAAGAACGGUACAAAACAUC
This 484-nucleotide ribosomal RNA is filed under the name Baylisascaris transfuga (bear roundworm). Its description in RNAcentral is "partial 12S ribosomal RNA". Lineage: Eukaryota; Metazoa; Nematoda; Chromadorea; Rhabditida; Ascarididae. The record is from RNAcentral.